This 909-nucleotide ribosomal RNA is filed under the name Triticum aestivum (bread wheat). RNAcentral's name for it is "partial small subunit ribosomal RNA". The record is from RNAcentral. Lineage: Eukaryota; Viridiplantae; Streptophyta; Magnoliopsida; Poales; Poaceae.
AUGCAAGAGGCUAACCCACAAUCAAUCGUUAGCAUAACAAACGACAAAGAAGAAGAAAACAACAAAGAGGAGGUAUCACAAGCACUGCAAGACCAAGAGACAACCCGUGUUGAAAUUGAACCCCGUAGUGAACCUCAAACAGACGAAGGCGUCACAGAACAGGAACUUUGUGUACAAGAGAUUUCCAGCGCCACGACAUUUCAGAUCACCAUCACGAGUACAAAGGAGAAAGCCCAAGACAUCCUAGCCGAUGAGAAACAAGAGACUAUUAUACCUGACAAACAAACAGUAGAUGCAGGCACGAAUAACCCAGUCAUCAACGCAGAGGAAAAAAACGAGUACGCUGAUCUCGAAGAUCAAGAACUUCAAACAACAACAUCUGAAGAGGUGAGGUUACAAAGCUCAGACACAAAUGAAGUUCAAUCUAUAAUUUCAAUUUUCAUUAAACAGGAAGAGGAAGCAAGCAAAAGCACUGGCAUAGACAUUCAACAAGAAAAACUAGAGGACAACACGAGACAAGGAGAAGCCGUAGUACAAGCAGUAGACAGUCCUGCAACUCCAGAGAUAGAGGCACAAGAAGCUCAAGAAACCAUCAACAAACAAGACCAUCAAACACAACCAGAGGAGCCCAAUGAACAACCCGAACAUGUUCUUCAAAUGAUAGACAAUAAUGCCACUGAAGACCAAGCCACAAAAAAUUCACUCACCAAACAACAGGUACCAGAGACAGCGGCAGCGUCAAUGAUUGAAAAGAGAGAGGAGACCAAUGAGCAAAAGGAGGGCACUGAAGAAGGGCAACAUGUUCUUCAAAAGCCAUACAUCAACAUAAUAGAAGACCAAGCCCCAAAAUAUUCACUCACCAAAAAACAGCAGCAGAGACAGCAGCAGCGACAACGACUGAAAAGCUAG